Molecule: small nucleolar RNA, 94 nt
Organism: Mya arenaria
Lineage: Eukaryota; Metazoa; Mollusca; Bivalvia; Myida; Myidae
Product: small nucleolar RNA SNORD14
Exons: 1
Source: RefSeq, a predicted model, not a curated record
UGUCGAUGAUGAAUUAAUUUAUCCACAUUCGCAGUUGCAACAGAAGGCUUCAUUGCCUAAAGAUGGCUUAGACCUUCCUUGGAUGUCUGAGACA